Sinocyclocheilus grahami is the source of this 471-nucleotide RNA transcript. It is a transcript of the gene named RNA guanine-7 methyltransferase activating subunit, with no coding region annotated. The transcript is spliced from 3 exons. NCBI's taxonomy places the organism in Eukaryota, Metazoa, Chordata, Actinopteri, Cypriniformes, Cyprinidae. The record is from RefSeq and is a predicted model, not a curated record.
GUCUGCCGGAACCUUCGAGCGUCCGGGAUGAAAUAAGCGUUGCACGUCACGUGUCGUGCUGGUGUUCGGCGUCUGUGCAGUCUCUAGGCACCCGUUUCUGUUACGAGCGCCAUGUCGUGCGCCACUGACUAUGACGUGCAGUUCGCGUCGCGUUUCUCGGCGGAGGACGCGGAGUUCCAGCGUUACCGGCAGCGCGAGCCAGACCCGCCGCCGGUGCUCGAGGACUGGAGAGCGGCGCGCGGGCGCAGAGACAGAGACAGGCGACUCCCGGAGCAGCGGCAGCACGAGCCCCGCGGCCAUCAUUUCCCGGACCGCCGCAAUGAACGGAACUCCGGCUCUCAGUCUCACGGCCAGAGGUCUCGUUACUGACCCACGGCGACGGCGUCUGACCUAGUGUGCGAUGUUUGUUUGAUCAUUUCUUUCCUUGGUGGAAUUACACUUCCCUUUGUAAAUAAAGCAGAUCAAAUUAUA